GCCUAGCCGUAACACACAAUUAAACCACCAAUUGUCCGCCAAACAACUACGAGCCAUACUUGAAACUUAAAAGACUUGACGGUACUUCAUCACGGCCUAGAGGAGCCUGUCUAAUAACCGACAAUCCACGAUUAACCCAACCCCUUCUUGCCCAACAGUCUAUAUACCGCCGUCGCCAGCUUACCUUGUAAAAGAAAUAAAGUGAGCUAAAUAGUACAACACUAAAACGACAGGUCGAGGUGUAACUCAUGAAGGGGCCAAGAUGGGCUACAUUCUCCAACCGAGAAUACGCAUAACACUAUGAAACUAGUGUUUGAAGGCGGAUUUAACAGUAAGAUAAGAAUAAAAUACUUAACUGAACACAACGCAAUGAAGUGCGUACACACCGCCCGUCAUCCCUGCCACCACAAUAUAAACCUUAAUAAACUAACCUAAAAAAAUCAAACAGGGCAAGUCGUAACAUGGUAAGUGUACUGGAAAGUGUACUUAGAAA
Molecule: ribosomal RNA, 493 nt
Filed under: Gloydius strauchi (Strauch's pitviper)
Lineage: Eukaryota; Metazoa; Chordata; Lepidosauria; Squamata; Viperidae
Description: partial 12S ribosomal RNA
Source: RNAcentral